AUUGAACGCUGGCGGCAUGCUUUACACAUGCAAGUCGAACGGUAACAGGCCUUCGGGUGCUGACGAGUGGCGAACGGGUGAGUAAUGCAUCGGAACGUGCCCAGAGGUGGGGGAUAACGCAGCGAAAGCUGUGCUAAUACCGCAUGUGAUCUGAGGAUGAAAGCGGGGGACCAGGCAGCAAUGUUUGGCCUCGCGCCUUUGGAGCGGCCGAUGUCAGAUUAGGUAGUUGGUGGGGUGAAGGCCUACCAAGCCGACGAUCUGUAGCUGGUCUGAGAGGACGACCAGCCACACUGGGACUGAGACACGGCCCAGACUCCUACGGGAGGCAGCAGUGGGGAAUUUUGGACAAUGGGCGCAAGCCUGAUCCAGCAAUGCCGCGUGCGGGAAGAAGGCCUUCGGGUUGUAAACCGCUUUUGUACGGAACGAAAAGGCUCUGGCUAAUACCUGGGGCUGAUGACGGUACCGUAAGAAUAAGCACCGGCUAACUACGU
This 491-nucleotide ribosomal RNA is filed under the name uncultured bacterium. Its description in RNAcentral is "partial 16S ribosomal RNA". It matches the Rfam family "Bacterial small subunit ribosomal RNA", at positions 30 to 506 of the family's 1533-position model. The record is from RNAcentral.